RNAcentral lists this ribosomal RNA (460 nucleotides) under uncultured bacterium. RNAcentral's name for it is "partial 16S ribosomal RNA". It matches the Rfam family "Bacterial small subunit ribosomal RNA", at positions 338 to 795 of the family's 1533-position model. The record is from RNAcentral.
CCUACGGGUGGCAGCAGUGAGGAAUAUUGGUCAAUGGACGAGAGUCUGAACCAGCCAAGUAGCGUGAAGGAUGACUGCCCUAUGGGUUGUAAACUUCUUUUAUAUGGGAAUAAAAUGUUCCACGUGUGGGAUUUUGUAUGUACCAUAUGAAUAAGGAUCGGCUAACUCCGUGCCAGCAGCCGCGGUAAUACGGAGGAUCCGAGCGUUAUCCGGAUUUAUUGGGUUUAAAGGGAGCGUAGGUGGAGUGUUAAGUCAGUUGUGAAAGUUUGCGGCUCAACCGUGAAAUUGCAGUUGAAACUGGCAGUCUUGAGUAGAGUAGAGGUGGGCGGAAUGCGUGGUGUAGCGGUGAAAUGCUUAGAUAUAACGAAGAACUCCGAUUGCGAAGGCAGCUUACUGGAGUGCAACUGACACUGAGGCUCGAAAGUGUGGGUAUCAAACAGGAUUAGAUACCCCUGUAGUC